AGAGUUUGAUCAUGGCUACAGAACGAACGCUGGCGGCGCGUUUAAGCAUGCAAGUCGAGCGGCAAGGGCCUUCGGGCCCCUAGAGCGGCGGACGGGUGAGUAACACGUGGACAAUCUGCCCCCCGGCCCGGGAUAGCCCAGGGAAACCUGGAUUAAUACCGGAUGAGACGGGACCCGCGAUGGCGGGACCCGGGAAAGGCGCUGCGGCGCCGCCGGGGGAUGAGUCUGCGUCCCAUUAGCUAGACGCGGGGUAAGGCCCCACCGUGGCGACGAUGGGUAGCCGGCCUGAGAGGGUGGACGGCCACAUUGGAACUGAGACACGGUCCAGACUCCUACGGGAGGCAGCAGCUAAGAAUCUUCCGCAAUGGGCGAAAGCCUGACGGAGCCGACGCCGCGUGAACGAAGAGGGCCGUGAGGUUGUAAAGUUCUUUUCGGGAGGGGAACAACCGUGGCAGGGAAUGGCCGCGGGAUGACGUGAAUCCCGGAAUAACGCCCCGGCUAACUACGUGCCAGCCGCUGC
RNAcentral lists this ribosomal RNA (520 nucleotides) under uncultured bacterium. RNAcentral describes it as "bacterial SSU rRNA". It matches the Rfam family "Bacterial small subunit ribosomal RNA", at positions 8 to 518 of the family's 1533-position model. The record is from RNAcentral.